AUAUAUAAUUAUUUGUUAAAUUUCAUGAUCUCAGUCGUAAUUCCACUGUUUGAAAUCUAAUUAUCCGCCGAUCUGCUCAACUUCAGACCCAGUUACCUCUUUCUCUCUCUCUCUUUAUGUGCAGUUGGCUCUUACUGGUACUCGAACUUGAGAUUUUAUAAGUAUGGAGAUAAUUGCUAUACCAUUGAGUUAAAAUUCAUCGGUGGAAUUAGUUUGAAG
Molecule: unclassified non-coding RNA, 219 nt
Filed under: Hevea brasiliensis (rubber tree)
Lineage: Eukaryota; Viridiplantae; Streptophyta; Magnoliopsida; Malpighiales; Euphorbiaceae
Source: RNAcentral